Long non-coding RNA from Helicoverpa armigera (cotton bollworm), 444 nucleotides. RefSeq lists it as uncharacterized. The transcript is spliced from 2 exons. The record is from RefSeq and is a predicted model, not a curated record. Lineage: Eukaryota; Metazoa; Arthropoda; Insecta; Lepidoptera; Noctuidae.
ACACUACCAUAUACCACAUCGCCGUAUACUUGACCACUGAUAUAAAAGAAGUCCCGAUUGUCUGAUUAUUAUCAUUGUGCACCGGAUCUUGUGUCCUACAGUUUCUUAACGACCAACAAAACAAACCAACAUCAAGAUGUUCAAAUUCGUGUUCUUUGCUGCUCUCCUGGCUUUGGCUUCGGCCAAACCCUAGUGGUUGAGUACCCGUAGCGGCCGCGUACACUGCUCCCGUAGCAGCCGCGUACACCGCGCCCGUCGCCUACUCCGCGUACAGCGCCUACGACUACGCCCUGCCCUAUUCCGCGUACACCUACGCCGCCCGUACACUUAUUACGUGCGCUGAUCAUUUGAAGUAACCAGGCUGAUGAAACACGACAACUGCUCAAAUAUGUACAUUAUUAAUAUAAUCACAGCAACAAUCGAAAUAAAGCUACUUCGAUAUUA